GCCUACGGGGCGCAGCAGUGGGGAAUAUUGGACAAUGGGGGGAACCCUGAUCCAGCGACGCCGCGUGAGUGAAGAAGUAUUUCGGUAUGUAAAGCUCUAUCAGCAGGGAAGAAAGAAAUGACGGUACCUGACUAAGAAGCCCCGGCUAACUACGUGCCAGCAGCCGCGGUAAUACGUGGGGGGCAAGCGUUGUCCGGAUUUACUGGGUGUAAAGGGCGUGCAGCCGGGAAGACAAGUCAGAUGUGAAAUCCCGCGGCUCAACCGCGGAACUGCAUUUGAAACUGUUACUCUGGAGUGUGGGAGAG
This 305-nucleotide ribosomal RNA is filed under the name uncultured bacterium. RNAcentral describes it as "bacterial SSU rRNA". It matches the Rfam family "Bacterial small subunit ribosomal RNA", at positions 337 to 656 of the family's 1533-position model. The record is from RNAcentral.